AGACCCGAAACCCGGUGAUCUAGCCAUGGGCAGGUUGAAGGUUGGGUAACACUAACUGGAGGACCGAACCGACUAAUGUUGAAAAAUUAGCGGAUGACCUGUGGCUGGGGGUGAAAGGCCAAUCAAACCGGGAGAUAGCUGGUUCUCCCCGAAAGCUAUUUAGGUAGCGCCUCGUGAAUUCAUCUCCGGGGGUAGAGCACUGUUUCGGCUAGGGGGCCAUCCCGGCUUACCAACCCGAUGCAAACUGCGAAUACCGGAGAAUGUUAUCACGGGAGACACACGGCGGGUGCUAACGUCCGUCGUGAAGAGGGAAACAACCCAGACCGCCAGCUAAGGUCCCAAAGUCAUGGUUAAGUGGGAAACGAUGUGGGAAGGCCCAGACAGCCAGGAUGUUGGCUUAGAAGCAGCCAUCAUUUAAAGAAAGCGUAAUAGCUCACUGGUCGAGUCGGCCUGCGCGGAAGAUGUAACGGGGCUAAACCAUGCACCGAAGCUGCGGCAGCGAACGUAUCACCCAAGACAACUUUACGGAGUUGACGAUUGACGGAGCGAAGCGACGUCAAAGCGUUCAUUAAAGUCGAGUUGGCUUAGGGAUACGUUCGUUGGGUAGGGGAGCGUUCUGUAAGCCUGUGAAGGUGUGUCGUGAGGCAUGCUGGAGGUAUCAGAAGUGCGAAUGCUGACAUAAGUAACGAUAAAGCGGGUGAAAAGCCCGCUCGCCGGAAGACCAAGGGUUCCUGUCCAACGUUAAUCGGGGCAGGGUGAGUCGACCCCUAAGGCGAGGCCGAAAGGCGUAGUCGAUGGGAAACGGGUUAAUAUUCCCGUACUUGGUGUUACUGCGAAGGGGGGACGGAGAAGGCUAUGUUGGCCGGGCGACGGUUGUCCCGGUUUAAGCGUGUAGGUGUGUGUUCCAGGUAAAUCCGGUUCACUUUAACACUGAGGCGUGACGACGAGGCACUACGGUGCUGAAGCAACAAAUGCCCUGCUUCCAGGAAAAGCCUCUAAGCAUCAGGUAACAUCAAAUCGUACCCCAAACCGACACAGGUGGUCAGGUAGAGAAUACCAAGGCGCUUGAGAGAACUCGGGUGAAGGAACUAGGCAAAAUGGUGCCGUAACUUCGGGAGAAGGCACGCUGACACGUAGGUGAAGUGAUUUACUCAUGGAGCUGAAGUCAGUCGAAGAUACCAGCUGGCUGCAACUGUUUAUUAAAAACACAGCACUGUGCAAACACGAAAGUGGACGUAUACGGUGUGACGCCUGCCCGGUGCCGGAAGGUUAAUUGAUGGGGUCAGCGCA
RNAcentral lists this ribosomal RNA (1290 nucleotides) under Salmonella enterica subsp. enterica serovar Typhimurium. RNAcentral's name for it is "partial 23S ribosomal RNA". It matches the Rfam family "Bacterial large subunit ribosomal RNA", at positions 711 to 1897 of the family's 2925-position model. Lineage: Bacteria; Pseudomonadati; Pseudomonadota; Gammaproteobacteria; Enterobacterales; Enterobacteriaceae. The record is from RNAcentral.